Molecule: ribosomal RNA, 514 nt
Filed under: uncultured bacterium
Lineage: Bacteria
Description: partial 16S ribosomal RNA
Rfam family: Bacterial small subunit ribosomal RNA
Source: RNAcentral
GAUGAACGCUGGCGGCGUGCCUAAUACAUGCAAGUCGAGCGCGAUCAUGAGGAGCUUGCUCCUCAUGAUCGAGCGGCGGACGGGUGAGUAACACGUAGGCAACCUACCCUUGAGAUUGGGAUAACUACCGGAAACGGUAGCUAAUACCGGAUAUGGCUUUUCCACAUAAGUGGAAUGGUUAAAAGGCGGAGUUAUCUGCCGCCCAUGGAUGGGCCUGCGGUGCAUUAGCUAGUUGGUGAGGUAGUGGCUCACCAAGGCGACGAUGCAUAGCCGACCUGGGAGGGUGAUCGGCCACACUGGGACUGAGACACGGCCCAGACUCCUACGGGAGGCAGCAGUAGGGAAUCUUCCGCAAUGGACGAAAGUCUGACGGAGCAACGCCGCGUGAGUGAUGAAGGGUUUCGGCUCGUAAAACUCUGUUGUUAAGGAAGAACACUUGAGGUAGUAACUGGCCUUGAGAUGACGGUACUUAACCAGAAAGCCACGGCUAACUACGUGCCAGCAGCCGCAGUAA